AACGCAACUUGCGCUCUCUGGUAUUCCGGAGAGCAUGCCUGUUUGAGUGUCAUGAUCUCUCAACCAAUAGGGUUUCUUAUUGGCUUGGAUCUGGGUGCUGCCAGCUUGUCUGGCUCGCCUUAAAGGAGUUAGCGAGUAUAGCAAUGUCGUCUGGCGUAAUAAGUUUCGCUGGGUUGACGUGUGAAGCACGCUUCUAAUCGCCCUCGGGCAAUUUUUGACUCUGGCCUCAAAUCAGGUAGGACUACCCGCUGAACUUAA
Molecule: unclassified non-coding RNA, 258 nt
Filed under: Fellhanera sp.
Lineage: Eukaryota; Fungi; Ascomycota; Lecanoromycetes; Lecanorales; Pilocarpaceae
Also listed under: 3 other names
Description: partial contains 5.8S ribosomal RNA, internal transcribed spacer 2, and large subunit ribosomal RNA
Rfam family: 5.8S ribosomal RNA (bases 1-52)
Source: RNAcentral